Molecule: transfer RNA, 174 nt
Filed under: Triticum aestivum (bread wheat)
Lineage: Eukaryota; Viridiplantae; Streptophyta; Magnoliopsida; Poales; Poaceae
Description: partial small subunit ribosomal RNA
Source: RNAcentral
AUGGAAAAUUGCAUUUUUGGAAUUUGCAAUAAUGCGAUGGGCGAACGACAGGAAUUGAACCCGCGCAUGGUGGAUUCACAAUCCACUUCCUUGAUCCACUUGGCUACAUCCGCCCCUUAUCCAUCUAAAGGAUUUUUUUCUUUUUUCCAUUGAUCAUUAUUCUAUUUAUUCUGA